ACGCGCAGACCUUACCAGCUUUGACAUGUCCGGUAUGUUGUCAGAGAUGACUUCCUUCCCGCAAGGGCCGGAACACAGGUGCUGCAUGGCUGUCGUCAGCUCGUGUCGUGAGAUGUUGGGUUAAGUCCCGCAACGAGCGCAACCCUCGCCCUUAGUUGCCAUCAUUCAGUUGGGCACUCUAGGGGGACUGCCGGUGAUAAGCCGCGAGGAAGGUGGGGAUGACGUCAAGUCCUCAUGGCCCUUACAGGCUGGGCUACAUACGUGCUACAAUGGCGGUGACAAUGGGAAGCGAAAGGGCGACCUGGAGCAAAUCUCAAAAAGCCGUCUCAGUUCGGAUUGCACUCUGCAACUCGAGUGCAUGAAGGUGGAAUCGCUAGUAAUCGCAGAUCAGCACGCUGCGGUGAAUACGUUCCCGGGCCUUGUACACACCGCCCGUCACACCAUGGGAGUUGGUUUUACCCGAAGGCGUUUCGCCAACCGCAAGGGGGCAGGCGACCACGGUAGGGUCAGCGACUGGGGUGGAGUCGUAACAAGGUA
RNAcentral lists this ribosomal RNA (537 nucleotides) under uncultured bacterium. Its description in RNAcentral is "bacterial SSU rRNA". It matches the Rfam family "Bacterial small subunit ribosomal RNA", at positions 959 to 1498 of the family's 1533-position model. The record is from RNAcentral.